Prionailurus viverrinus (fishing cat) is the source of this 550-nucleotide long non-coding RNA. RefSeq lists it as uncharacterized. The record is from RefSeq and is a predicted model, not a curated record. Lineage: Eukaryota; Metazoa; Chordata; Mammalia; Carnivora; Felidae. The transcript is spliced from 2 exons.
GAAUAACCUUCCCACUUUAUCAAGCACUGUGACAAACCCGCCACAAUCAGACAGUAGCCAUGGCAACCAGGACAAGCUUUGGCGCCUCACAAAGCCCUGAGUGGCAGAAUGGAGUCCUUUUAUUAGUGACUGUGCCCUGGCCGGCCGGGUUCUCUCGGGCGGGCACCCAGCACAGCAAGACAAUGGACAAACCCCUGCUGAAGCCUGCCUGACCUGCUCAGACAGGCCUCGCACGGGCGGCCUCUAUUUUGCUCUGUUUUAUUUCAUUCUGUCACUAUCUUAAAGAGAAAGACAGCAGGAUUUCUCCCCAACAGUUUUUCCCCUCAGGGUAGGGGAUGUCAGCCAGAGGGUGCAGAAGCAGAAAGACUGAAAGGAAAAGAGGAAACACAACAAAACAUAACCCUGCUUGACAGAGCUGACGGUUCAAUCUCAAGUGUUAAUAUCUGGCCGUCACGUGUGGUCGCCAAUCAACUAAGGAAACAGACAUUGAACACAACCUUCCCUUACCCUCCAAAACUCGUGACAACAGAAUGCCGAGUUUGCUAAGAAA